AAUAGAUGACGCCGUUGACUUUUUCUUAUAUGUUUGACCAUUCGUCUUAUUCAAAAAAUUUACGUAAUUAUAAUUUAUUUUAUUAUGAGUUGUUUUAUCACUCAUAGUACUUUAAGUAUGAUUUAUAUCUUAUACAUUUGCAUAAAUUUUUUUAAUAAGACGAAUGGACAAACAUGUGAGAAAAAAUCAACGGCGUCAUAUAUU
Oryza sativa Japonica Group (Japanese rice) is the source of this 204-nucleotide microRNA precursor. It matches the Rfam family "MIR812 microRNA precursor family". The record is from Rfam. Lineage: Eukaryota; Viridiplantae; Streptophyta; Magnoliopsida; Poales; Poaceae.